Molecule: ribosomal RNA, 510 nt
Filed under: uncultured bacterium
Lineage: Bacteria
Description: bacterial SSU rRNA
Rfam family: Bacterial small subunit ribosomal RNA
Source: RNAcentral
AACGAACGUUGGCGGCGUGGAUUAGGCAUGCAAGUCGAGGGAAUGCCCGCAAGGGUGGAACCGGCGUAAGGGGCAGUAAGGCAUGGAUAACUUACCCUGGGAUUUGGCAUAGCUCGUAGAAAUACGAGGUAAUUCCAAGCGAUGUGAUUGGGGGGCAUCCUCUGGUCACCAAAGGUCCGCUGUCCUGGGAGAGGUCCAUGUGAUAUUAGCUAGUUGGUGAGGUAACGGCUCACCAAGGCGAAGAUGUCUAGCGGGUGUGAGAGCACGACCCGCGCCACUGGCACUGAGACACUGGCCAGACACCUACGGGUGGCUGCAGUCGAGGAUCUUCGGCAAUGAGCGCAAGCUUGACCGAGCGACGCCGCGUGUGCGAUGAAGGCCUUCGGGUUGUAAAGCACUGUCGAGGGGGAGAAAGGGCAACUUGAUCUAUCCCUGGAGGAAGCACGGGCUAAGUUCGUGCCAGCAGCCGCGGUAAGACGAACCGUGCGAACGUUGUUCGGAAUCAUUGGG